CUCGUUCAAGUGCUGAUCUAUUUUUAAAUUGAAUAUUUAUUUUUAUUCAAAUAUAUUGAAAUUAAUAUGGAAACAAAAGUUCAUAAAUAUUAGUUUGAAAAGCCAUGUCAGAAGAGUAGGAUUAAAGACAAAGUAUUAAGAGUAAUUGGGCUGUUCCUGAACAAUAUUGAAUAUAAAUAUUCAAAAAUAUGAUAAACUGCAUAUCCUACUAAGUAGAUCAAUACCAAAAUUCCAUUAGAGAAAUAAGUUAAAAUUAUGUUUUACUUGUAUAAUUUUCUUGCUAUUUGUCCACCAUUAUUUGUGACUUAGAAAUUAAAUAGUCAAAAAGAAUUUAGUACCAGUUUUUAUUUCCCAAAAAAAAUAAUUGUUAAAUAAUUACAUAUUGCUUAAGAUACAGUAUAUUAUAUUGUGUUUAUAGUUGAUAAUUCUAGUUCUUAGUUGUUUAUAGUUGAUAAUUAACAAUAUUUCUGAUGUUAGAUAUUAUAUUAGAUAAAAAAUUUAAUUACCAACAGCUACCUACCUAUGUAGCUGCAGAUUAUUAUAUUGUGUAGUAGGUACUGUAUAAUUCUUUAGUUCAAGAAACAAAUAUCAGUACAAGUAUAUAACCAAAAAAAUGUUGAUGCAAAUUCUUUGUAUAACAUACGUACCCCUAUGGUAUUCAACUUUUCAUUGUUCUUUUAAUUAGAUACACAAUAAGCACAUUAAUUCGUUUAUUAAACAACCAAAACUCUAACUACUUAAAUUCACAAUAUAAAUAUCACAAUAAAUGUAUAAGCUUUGA
RNAcentral lists this long non-coding RNA (781 nucleotides) under Sitophilus oryzae (rice weevil). RNAcentral describes it as "uncharacterized LOC115879778". The record is from RNAcentral. Lineage: Eukaryota; Metazoa; Arthropoda; Insecta; Coleoptera; Curculionidae.